Molecule: ribosomal RNA, 264 nt
Filed under: uncultured bacterium
Lineage: Bacteria
Description: partial 16S ribosomal RNA
Rfam family: Bacterial small subunit ribosomal RNA
Source: RNAcentral
UACAUGGGGUGCAAACGUUGCUCGGAAUUAUUGGGCGUAAAGCGCACGUAGGCGGUUCGUUAAGUCGGAUGUGAAAGCCCUCGGCUCAACUGAGGAAGUGCACCCGAAACUGGCGAGCUUGAGUACGAAAGAGGAUCGCGGAAUUCCCGGUGUAGAGGUGAAAUUCGUAGAUAUUGGGAAGAACACCGGUGCGAAGGCGGCUCUCUGGACCGAUACUGACGCUGAGGCGCGAAAGCGUGGGGAGCAAACAGGAGUUAGAAACCC